RNAcentral lists this ribosomal RNA (142 nucleotides) under uncultured bacterium. Its description in RNAcentral is "partial 16S rRNA". It matches the Rfam family "Bacterial small subunit ribosomal RNA", at positions 355 to 511 of the family's 1533-position model. The record is from RNAcentral.
UGGGGAAUUUUCCGCAAUGGGCGAAAGCCUGACGGAGCAAUGCCGCGUGGAGGUGGAAGGUCCUACGGGUCGUCAACUUCUUUUCUCGGAGAAGAAACAAUGACGGUAUCUGAGGAAUAAGCAUCGGCUAACUCUGUGCCAG